GUAAAAUUGGAAGAUGCAGGUUUUGAUUGGAAAAUCCUUGGUCCUGAUGUGCAAGAGGUUGAUUAUGUUGCAUGGGUGUGCGAUCAGGAUGCCUAUGCCUGUAGUGGUCAAAAGUGCUCUGCCGAGUCAAUUCUUUUUAUGCACGAGAACUGGGCAUCAACUAAUCUUCUACUUCUAAUGCAACAACUUGCUGAGAGAAGGAAAC
Molecule: unclassified non-coding RNA, 205 nt
Filed under: Hevea brasiliensis (rubber tree)
Lineage: Eukaryota; Viridiplantae; Streptophyta; Magnoliopsida; Malpighiales; Euphorbiaceae
Source: RNAcentral